CCGGAAGCAGCAAGCGUGCCUGGGCAGAGACCCCCAGAGUGUAAAGAGGUCCUGGGACAGGCUUUGCACGUUCCACAAGAGGAGAAAAAGACCAAAGACCAAAGAGGCCAAAGACCUCAAGCAGGGCCUGUAGGACCCAAAGUAUUGGCAGGUGCCAGAGCCACUCCUCCCCACAUCCAGGUGAGCCCUGUGCCCUGGCACCAGGAUCUGCUGUCUUUGCUAAGUGGAAGGAUCUGGUAGUGCCAAAUAGUGUUUGGACCUUCUAAGCUAGCUGGUGUGGGGGUCAAGUGCAUGGUCUUUGGAGCUAGACAGCCUUUCCACUUAGGACAUAUGUGACCUUCAACAAGUUUCUAAACCUCUCUGGGUUUCAGUUUUGCCAUCUGUAGAAUGGAGCUGGUAUCUCCCUUACAGGAUUAAAGGAAAUAAUGUGUGUCCCAUGCUCAGCCCUGCACCUGCCACAGUAAGCACCUGGUGAGUGGGAGUAUCUGAUCUUGUUAUUGAGGAUGCAGAGGCCGACUCCCCUGUUCUCUGCUUCCUUCGCCCUCCCCUUGCCAACCUGCUUCAACACAGGAUCCUGCAGGACCUCCUCCUUUGCCAUAUGCUCCUUCAGCAGUUCUGUCUGCACAAUCCCCGGCCACAGAGACACACAGCUGACCCCAUGGCGCCGCAGCUCGUGGGCACAGUCAGCAGCCAGCUUGUCACACUGUGGAGAGGCGGAAGGCAGGGUAAGAGCCACCUAGCCAUGUCACUUUCCUGCCCUGCCCUCUCUGCUUCUACUGUGAAUGCUCCACCCACCCUGUCCUUCCCAGGAGCCCCAAGGUCUCAGCUGCCCACGCUCCCCAGUGUGAUGCCUACUCUAGCCAACCAAGAGGAGCACAAGCAAAGGAACUGUCCAUGGAUGAGGCAGAGGAGGAGCUGAGAGGAGCCAGCCUUACCAUUCUGACCACUGGGGAUUGUACCUCCUGAGCUAUAGUGUCUCGCUGUGUCGUCUAGACUGGAGUGCAGUGGUGUGA
RNAcentral lists this long non-coding RNA (1013 nucleotides) under Homo sapiens (human). Its description in RNAcentral is "HSALNT0375803". Lineage: Eukaryota; Metazoa; Chordata; Mammalia; Primates; Hominidae. The record is from RNAcentral.